GCACUGCUGAGGAGUCCCAUAAUAGGACGAAACAGCCGUCUAGUGC
Schistosoma mansoni is the source of this 46-nucleotide non-coding RNA. The record is from Rfam. NCBI's taxonomy places the organism in Eukaryota, Metazoa, Platyhelminthes, Trematoda, Strigeidida, Schistosomatidae.